UAGUCUGGGAUACCACUUGGAAACAGGUGCUAAUACCGGAUAAGAAAGCGGAUCGCAUGAUCAGCUUUUAAAAGGCGGCGUAAGCUGUCGCUAUGGGAUGGCCCCGCGGUGCAUUAGCUAGUUGGUAAGGUAAAGGCUUACCAAGGCGAUGAUGCAUAGCCGAGUUGAGAGACUGAUCGGCCACAUUGGGACUGAGACACGGCCCAAACUCCUACGGGAGGCAGCAGAC
RNAcentral lists this ribosomal RNA (229 nucleotides) under uncultured Lactobacillus sp. Its description in RNAcentral is "partial 16S ribosomal RNA". It matches the Rfam family "Bacterial small subunit ribosomal RNA", at positions 134 to 354 of the family's 1533-position model. The record is from RNAcentral. Lineage: Bacteria; Bacillati; Bacillota; Bacilli; Lactobacillales; Lactobacillaceae.